GUGUCAGCCGCCGCGGUAAUACAGAGGUCUCAAGCGUUGUUCGGAUUCAUUGGGCGUAAAGGGCGCGUAGGCGGUCGUGACAAGUCACUUGUGAAAUCUCCGGGCUUAACUCGGAACGGUCAAGUGAUACUGUCGGACUAGAGUACAGAAGGGGCAACUGGAAUUCUCGGUGUAGCGGUGAAAUGCGUAGAUAUCGAGAGGAACACCUGCGGCGAAGGCGGGUUGCUGGGCCGACACUGACGCUGAUGCGCGAAAGCCAGGGGAGCGAAAGGGAUUAGAAACCCCCGUAGUCC
RNAcentral lists this ribosomal RNA (293 nucleotides) under uncultured bacterium. Its description in RNAcentral is "partial 16S ribosomal RNA". It matches the Rfam family "Bacterial small subunit ribosomal RNA", at positions 505 to 796 of the family's 1533-position model. The record is from RNAcentral.